Molecule: ribosomal RNA, 424 nt
Filed under: uncultured cyanobacterium
Lineage: Bacteria; Bacillati; Cyanobacteriota
Description: bacterial SSU rRNA
Rfam family: Bacterial small subunit ribosomal RNA
Source: RNAcentral
UGGGGAAUUUUCCGCAAUGGGCGAAAGCCUGACGGAGCAAUACCGCGUGAGGGAGGAAGGCUCUUGGGUUGUAAACCUCUUUUCUCAGGGAAGAAAACUGACGGUACCUGAGGAAUCAGCAUCGGCUAACUCCGUGCCAGCAGCCGCGGUAAUACGGAGGAUGCAAGCGUUAUCCGGAAUGAUUGGGCGUAAAGCGUCCGUAGGUGGCUGUGUAAGUCUAUUGUCAAAGCAUCGUGCUCAACACGAUCAAGGCAGUGGAAACUACAGAGCUAGAGUGCAUUCGGGGCAGAGGGAAUUCCUGGUGUAGCGGUGAAAUGCGUAGAGUUCAGGAAGAACACCGGUGGCGAAAGCGCUCUGCUAGGCUGCAACUGACACUGAGGGACGAAAGCUAGGGGAGCGAAUGGGAUUAGAUACCCCAGUAGUC